This 96-nucleotide non-coding RNA is filed under the name Sporolactobacillus laevolacticus. Its description in RNAcentral is "TPP sequence". It matches the Rfam family "TPP riboswitch aptamer (THI element)". Rfam says of the family: Vitamin B(1) in its active form thiamin pyrophosphate (TPP) is an essential coenzyme that is synthesised by coupling of pyrimidine and thiazole moieties in bacteria. The previously detected thiamin-regulatory element, thi box was extended, resulting in a new, highly conserved RNA secondary structure, the THI element, which is widely distributed in eubacteria and also occurs in some archaea. Lineage: Bacteria; Bacillati; Bacillota; Bacilli; Caryophanales; Sporolactobacillaceae. The record is from RNAcentral. RNAcentral also lists the same sequence under 1 other name.
UUCGUCCACUAGGGGUGCUUCUGCUGAGAGGGACUUGUCCCGACCCUUGGACCUGAUCUGGGUAAUACCAGCGUAGGAAAGUGGUUAUUGUGACUA